UACAGAGGGUGCGAGCGUUAAUCGGAAUUACUGGGCGUAAAGCGCGCGUAGGCGGCUUUGCAAGUCGGGUGUGAAAUCCCCAGGCUUAACCUGGGAACUGCAUUCGAGACUGCAUUGCUAGAGUAUGGGAGAGGGAAGUGGAAUUUCCGGUGUAGCGGUGAAAUCCGUAGAUAUCGGAAGGAACAUCAGUGGCGAAAGCGACUUCCUGGACCAAUACUGACGCUCAUGUGCGAAAGCGUGGGGAGCAAACAGG
Molecule: ribosomal RNA, 253 nt
Filed under: uncultured bacterium
Lineage: Bacteria
Description: partial 16S ribosomal RNA
Rfam family: Bacterial small subunit ribosomal RNA
Source: RNAcentral